RNAcentral lists this ribosomal RNA (759 nucleotides) under uncultured soil bacterium. Its description in RNAcentral is "bacterial SSU rRNA". It matches the Rfam family "Bacterial small subunit ribosomal RNA", at positions 28 to 768 of the family's 1533-position model. The record is from RNAcentral.
AGCGAACGUUAGCGGCGGGCCUAACACAUGCAAGUCGAGCGAGAAAAGGGCUUCGGCCCUGAGUAAAGCGGCGGACGGGUGAGUAAUACGUAGGUAAUUUUCCCUUGAGCGGGGGACAACGUUCCGAAAGGGACGCUAAUACCGCAUAAGUUCCCAGAGACCUUGGUCUUUGGGAGGAAAGCUAGGCAGCAAUGUCCGGCACUCGAGGAGAAGCCUGCGUCGCAUCAGCCAGUUGGUGGGGUAAUGGCCUACCAAGGCGAAGACGCGUAGCUGGUCUGAGAGGAUGAUCAGCCACACUGAAACUGAGACACGGUUCAGACUCCUACGGGAGGCAGCAGUGGGGAAUAUUGGACAAUGGGCGCAAGCCUGAUCCAGCCACGCCGCGUGAGUGAUGAAGGCCUUCGGGUCGUAAAGCUCUGUGGGGAGGGACGAACCGCCGGAUGUGCAUAGCAUCCGGCAUGACGGUACCUCCUUAGCAAGCACCGGCUAACUUCGUGCCAGCAGCCGCGGUAAUACGAAGGGUGCAAACGUUGCUCGGAAUUAUUGGGCGUAAAGCGCACGUAGGCGGCUUUGUAAGUUGGAUGUGAAAUCCCUCGGCUCAACCAAGGAAAGUGCAUUCAAAACUGCAAAGCUUGAAUACUUAAGAGGAUCGCGGAAUUCCCGGUGUAGAGGUGAAAUUCGUAGAUAUCGGGAGGAACACCAGUGGCGAAGGCGGCGAUCUGGGAAGAUACUGACGCUGAGGUGCGAAAGCGUGGGGAG